RNAcentral lists this ribosomal RNA (500 nucleotides) under uncultured bacterium. Its description in RNAcentral is "partial 16S ribosomal RNA". It matches the Rfam family "Bacterial small subunit ribosomal RNA", at positions 30 to 523 of the family's 1533-position model. The record is from RNAcentral.
AUUGAACGCUGGCGGCAUGCCUUACACAUGCAAGUCGAACGGCAGCACGGGAGCAAUCCUGGUGGCGAGUGGCGAACGGGUGAGUAAUAUAUCGGAACGUGCCCAGUCGUGGGGGAUAACGUAGCGAAAGCUACGCUAAUACCGCAUACGAUCUAUGGAUGAAAGCGGGGGAUCGCAAGACCUCGCGCGAUUGGAGCGGCCGAUAUCAGAUUAGGUAGUUGGUGGGGUAGAGGCUCACCAAGCCGACGAUCUGUAGCUGGUCUGAGAGGACGACCAGCCACACUGGGACUGAGACACGGCCCAGACUCCUACGGGAGGCAGCAGUGGGGAAUUUUGGACAAUGGGCGCAAGCCUGAUCCAGCAAUGCCGCGUGCAGGAUGAAGGCCUUCGGGUUGUAAACUGCUUUUGUACGGAACGAAACGGCGAGCUCUAAUACAGUUCGCUAAUGACGGUACCGUAAGAAUAAGCACCGGCUAACUACGUGCCAGCAGCCGCCGUAA